RNAcentral lists this ribosomal RNA (428 nucleotides) under uncultured bacterium. RNAcentral describes it as "partial 16S ribosomal RNA". It matches the Rfam family "Bacterial small subunit ribosomal RNA", at positions 354 to 796 of the family's 1533-position model. The record is from RNAcentral.
GUGGGGAAUUUUGGACAAUGGGGGAAACCCUGAUCCAGCGACGCCGCGUGAAGGAUGAAGGCCUUCGGGUUGUAAACUUCUUUUGGAGGGGACGAAUAAAUUGACGGUACCCUCAGAAAAAGCCACGGCUAACUACGUGCCAGCAGCCGCGGUAAUACGAAGGGGGCUAGCGUUGCUCGGAAUGACUGGGCGUAAAGGGCGUGUAGGCGGUUUGUACAGUCAGAUGUGAAAUCCCCGGGCUUAACCUGGGAGCUGCAUUUGAUACGUGCAGACUAGAGUGUGAGAGAGGGUUGUGGAAUUCCCAGUGUAGAGGUGAAAUUCGUAGAUAUUGGGAAGAACACCGGUGGCGAAGGCGGCAACCUGGCUCAUUACUGACGCUGAGGCGCGAAAGCGUGGGGAGCAAACAGGAUUAGAAACCCUAGUAGUCC